GAGCCUGCACACGUUUAUGAAGUGAUCGAGAUAAAAUCUGAAACACAACGAGACUCAGAUGGAAAUUUGGUCACCACUUUAUAGAAGCAAGAAACAGGGGAUGAAAUUUGCAAUAUUAUGAGCAAAGUUUAAAACAAUUUAGUUUAAGAUAAUCACAGUUAAUUUACAUUUUUAUAUAAACACGUAGAUGCUUAUUAAGGGUGUCCCAAAU
Molecule: long non-coding RNA, 211 nt
Organism: Nicrophorus vespilloides
Lineage: Eukaryota; Metazoa; Arthropoda; Insecta; Coleoptera; Silphidae
Exons: 3
Source: RefSeq, a predicted model, not a curated record